ACUAGCAGUAAGAGUUUGAUCAUGGCUCAGACGAACGCUGGCGGCAGGCUUAACACAUGCAAGUCGAACGCCCCGCAAGGGGAGUGGCAGACGGGUGAGUAACGCGUGGGAAUCUACCCAGUUCUACGGAACAACUGAGGGAAACUUCAGCUAAUACCGUAUAAGCCCUACGGGGGAAAGAUUUAUCGGGAUUGGAUGAGCCCGCGUUGGAUUAGCUAGUUGGUGGGGUAAUGGCCUACCAAGGCGACGAUCCAUAGCUGGUCUGAGAGGAUGAUCAGCCACACUGGGACUGAGACACGGCCCAGACUCCUACGGGAGGCAGCAGUGGGGAAUAUUGGACAAUGGGCGAAAGCCUGAUCCAGCCAUGCCGCGUGAGUGAUGAAGGCCUUAGGGUUGUAAAGCUCUUCAGUGGGGAAGAUAAUGACGGUACCCACAGAAGAAGCCCCGGCUAACUUCGUGCCAGCCGCCGCGGUAAUUC
Molecule: ribosomal RNA, 478 nt
Filed under: uncultured bacterium
Lineage: Bacteria
Description: bacterial SSU rRNA
Rfam family: Bacterial small subunit ribosomal RNA
Source: RNAcentral